Molecule: long non-coding RNA, 474 nt
Organism: Gasterosteus aculeatus (three-spined stickleback)
Lineage: Eukaryota; Metazoa; Chordata; Actinopteri; Perciformes; Gasterosteidae
Source: Ensembl
AUGAUCAUGAUUGCCAAUAUGACCUGUGUCCCUGGAAACGACACCGCCUCAUGUUCUGCUCCCCGCAGCUCUCGUACCGAUCUAGCCGUUGGCCUGACGUUCUUCUUUGUACUGCUGCUGAUCGCAGCUGGUGUGAUCGUGUACAACUACCACAGUAAAAUGAGGAGUAUGUUUCAGUUUGGACAAAGGAGAAGCCACAAAGAACGGGACUAUACAGAGACGCUACCAGAAGAUUCGCCUCGCUACCGCUAUGUGAUCCGUGAAGCUUCAACCGGAGAGAACCCUAUUUAUGAAAACCUGGCGACUCGAACCAAAAGGCCCGCGGUGAACAAGCCACCCCGUGAAUCUGAAGAGGACGUGUACCUGCAGUGUGAUUCUCCAGAUGAGGCAAUAUACAGCAAUGACCCAGCGUGUAACCUCUCCAUCCUCCCAGACCAUGAAGAAGACCUGUACAUUAUGCCAGAUUCAUUGUAG